AACGCUGGCUGCGUGCUUAACUCAUGCAAGUCGAACGGAAAGGCCCUGCUUGCAGGGUACUCGAGUGGCGAACGGGUGAGUAACACGUGGGUGAUCUGCCCUGCACUUCGGGAUAAGCUUGGGAAACUGGGUCUAAUACCGGAUAGGAGCCAUCUUUAGUGUGGUGGUUGGAACGUUUUUUCGGUGUAGGAUGAGCUCGCGGCCUAUCAGCUUGUUGGUGGGGUAAUGGCCUACCAAGGCGGCGACGGGUAGCCGGCCUGAGAGGGUGUACGGCCACAUUGGGACUGUGAUACGGCCCAGACUCCUACGGGAGGCAGCAGUGGGGAAUAUUGCACAAUGGGCGCAAGCCUGAUGCAGCGACGCCGCGUGGGGGAUGAAGGCCUUCGGGUUGUAAACUCCUUUCGCUAGGGACGAAGCUUUGUUGUGACGGUACCUAGAUAAGAAGCACCGGCUAACUACGUG
RNAcentral lists this ribosomal RNA (462 nucleotides) under uncultured bacterium. Its description in RNAcentral is "partial 16S ribosomal RNA". It matches the Rfam family "Bacterial small subunit ribosomal RNA", at positions 32 to 507 of the family's 1533-position model. The record is from RNAcentral.